Molecule: non-coding RNA, 789 nt
Filed under: Stathmopoda auriferella
Lineage: Eukaryota; Metazoa; Arthropoda; Insecta; Lepidoptera; Oecophoridae
Source: RNAcentral
AAAUAUUUUUUAUAGUUUAAAAAAUUUAAUAAAAAUUUACUUUAUAUAUAAAUUUUUGUAAUUUAUUUAAUUAUUUAAAUAAUAAUUAAUUAUAAAAAAUAAUGUAGUAAAUAAUUUUAAAAAUUUAAGAAAUUAAGAUUUAGUAAUAUAAAAAUUAAUAACAAAUUUUGUGCCAGCAGUUGCGGUUAAACAAAAAUUAAAUUAAAUUUUUUUAAUAAUUAAUUAAUAAAAUAAAAUUUAUUAUAAAUAUUAAAUUAUUAGGUGAAAUUUUAAUUUAAUUUAAAAAUAAUUUAAUUUUAUGAUUUAAUAAAUUAAAAAAUAAACUAGGAUUAGAUACCCUAUUAUAAUAAAUUAAAAAAAUAAUAUUAAAAUAGUAUAUAUAUAUAAUUAAUAAAAUAUAUGGAAACUUAAAUAAUUUGGCGGUAUUUUAGUUCAUUUAGAGGAAUCUGUUUAAUAAUUGAUAAUCCACGAAUAAAUUUACUUAAUUUAAAAAUUUGUAUAUCGUUGUUAUAAAAAUAUUUAAGAAUAAUAAUAAUAUUUAAAAAUUUAAAAAUAAAAUUAAAUCAGAUCAAGAUGCAGUUUAUAAUUAAGAAUAUAAUGGAUUACAAUAAAUUUAUUUAGAUAGUAUUAUAAUUGUAAAGUUAUAAUUAAAUUGGAUUUAAAUGUAAUUUUUUUUAAAUUAAAAAAAUGAUUAUAAUUUAAAAUAUGUACAUAUUGCCCGUCGCUUUCAUAAAUAAAUUGAAAUAAGUCGUAACAAAGUAGAGAUACUGGAAAGUGUUUCUAGAAAGA